GAAGAAAGUCGGCCCGGAAAUGGAAGAGAUUGUGAAGAAAAUCAAGAUCUUAAUUGAAGAAAAACAAGUGAGCGAUGUCGCGAUGAAGAAUUUACAGUAUCGGCAGACUUCGAUGGAGAGUGAUCUAGACCACCUGAACCAGGAAGUCUACUGUCUAGAGGCGACUUGUAACAUGAAAGAAG
This is a long non-coding RNA of Amblyraja radiata (thorny skate), 182 nucleotides long. RefSeq lists it as uncharacterized. The record is from RefSeq and is a predicted model, not a curated record. Lineage: Eukaryota; Metazoa; Chordata; Chondrichthyes; Rajiformes; Rajidae. The transcript is spliced from 3 exons.